UACGUAGGUGGCAAGCGUUGUCCGGAUUUACUGGGCGUAAAGGGUGCGUAGGCGGUUAUUUAAGUCAGAUGUUAAAGACUACAGCUCAACUGUAGAAAGCAUUUGAAACUGGGUAACUUGAGUCAAGGAGAGGAAAGUGGAAUUCCUAGUGUAGCGGUGAAAUGCGUAGAUAUUAGGAGGAAUACCAGUGGCGAAGGCGACUUUCUGGACUUGUACUGACGCUGAGGAACGAAAGCAUGGGGAGCAAACAGG
This 252-nucleotide ribosomal RNA is filed under the name uncultured bacterium. Its description in RNAcentral is "partial 16S ribosomal RNA". It matches the Rfam family "Bacterial small subunit ribosomal RNA", at positions 524 to 776 of the family's 1533-position model. The record is from RNAcentral.